AGAGUUUGAUCAUGGCUCAGAACGAACGCUGGCGGCGUGCUUAACACAUGCAAGUCGAACGAGAAGUACGUAGCAAUACGUAUUGUAAAGUGGCGCACGGGUGAGUAACACGUGGGUAAUCUGCCCUUGAGUUUGGGAUAACCCCGCGAAAGCGGGGCUAAUACCGAAUAAGACCACGGGGACCAAAGUCCCUGAGGUAAAAGGUGGCCUCUAUUUAUAAGCUACCACUUGAGGAUGAGCCCGCGGCCCAUUAGCUAGUUGGCAGGGUAAUGGCCUACCAAGGCAAUGAUGGGUAGCUGGUCUGAGAGGACGAUCAGCCACACUGGAACUGAGACACGGUCCAGACUCCUACGGGAGGCAGCAGUGGGGAAUAUUGCGCAAUGGGCGAAAGCCUGACGCAGCAACGCCGCGUGGGGGAUGAAGGUUUUCGGAUUGUAAACCCCUUUCGAUCGGAACGAAUCUCCUCUUGGUAAAUAAUCAGGAGGAUCGACGGUACCGGGAGAAGAAGCCACGGCUAACUCUGUGCCAGCAGCCGCGGUAAGACAGAGGUGGCGAGCGUUGUUCGGAUUUAUUGGGCGUAAAGCGAACGCAGGUGGUUUGGUAAGUCAGGGGUGAAAGUCCACAGCUUAACUGUGGCACUGCCUUUGAUACUGCCUUUCUUGAGUGCAUGAGGGGGAAGCGGAAUUCCGAGUGUAGAGGUGAAAUUCGUAGAUAUUCGGAGGAACACCGGUGGCGAAGGCGGCUUCCUGGCAUGUAACUGACACUCAUGUUCGAAAGCGUGGGUAGCAAACAGGAUUAGAUACCCUGGUAGUCC
Molecule: ribosomal RNA, 814 nt
Filed under: uncultured bacterium
Lineage: Bacteria
Description: bacterial SSU rRNA
Rfam family: Bacterial small subunit ribosomal RNA
Source: RNAcentral